UACGUAGGGUGCAAGCGUUGUCCGGAAUUAUUGGGCGUAAAGGGCGCGUAGGCGGCUACGCACGUCCGUUGUGAAAUCGCUCGGCUCAACUGGGCGGGGUCAGCGGAUACGGCGUAGCUGGAGCAAGCUAGGGGGCAAUGGAAUUCCCGGUGUAGUGGUGGAAUGCGUAGAUAUCGGGAGGAACACCAGUGGCGAAGGCGGUUGCCUGGAGCUUUGCUGACGCUGAUGCGCGAAAGCGUGGGGAGCGAUCCGG
Molecule: ribosomal RNA, 253 nt
Filed under: uncultured bacterium
Lineage: Bacteria
Description: partial 16S ribosomal RNA
Rfam family: Bacterial small subunit ribosomal RNA
Source: RNAcentral